Long non-coding RNA from Myiozetetes cayanensis, 109 nucleotides. RefSeq lists it as uncharacterized. Lineage: Eukaryota; Metazoa; Chordata; Aves; Passeriformes; Tyrannidae. The record is from RefSeq and is a predicted model, not a curated record. The transcript is spliced from 3 exons.
CUGAUACAUUGGUUUCAGGACCGGUAACAAGUACAGAUCUGAGAAAAUGUCAAGGUAAAUCACAACACACAAAGAAGUGGCAACUUCCCACAGGGCAACUGAAUGCUAC